CACGUAGGCGGUUUGGUCAGUCAGUUGUGAAAUCCCCCGGCUCAACCGGGGAACUGCAACUGAUACUGCCGGACUAGAGUGCGCGAGGGGAGAGCGGAAUUCCUGGUGGAGCGGUGAUAUGCGUAGAUAUCAGGAGGAACGCCGGAGGCGAAAGCGGCUCUCUGGCGCGCAACUGACGCUGAGGUGCGAAAGCUAGGGGAGCGAACAGGAUUAGAUACCCUGGUAGUCC
Molecule: ribosomal RNA, 229 nt
Filed under: uncultured bacterium
Lineage: Bacteria
Description: partial 16S ribosomal RNA
Rfam family: Bacterial small subunit ribosomal RNA
Source: RNAcentral